Molecule: long non-coding RNA, 741 nt
Organism: Arvicola amphibius (Eurasian water vole)
Lineage: Eukaryota; Metazoa; Chordata; Mammalia; Rodentia; Cricetidae
Exons: 4
Source: RefSeq, a predicted model, not a curated record
GUUCUGCCAUCUUGGGAAGGUCCUGCUUGCUGUUCGAAUGCUAGGGGUUGAGCCGUGGGCUGCCAUUUUCAGAAGGUCUGUCAAGGCUCCUCGUGUCCGGGUGCAUAACCAUGACUGCAGUCUGAAUGCCACUGCCUCCGAAAUUACUCUGUUCCAGGAAAAAUAAGCUGGAACCAGUUCUCACUGAUUCCCAAGACUAGAUUUUUGCCAAGCUCAUAUUCAGUGAUACUACUUUGGUAUCAGCCAUGAUAAGAGGAUCACUUCCAGGAGUGAGUUCACUCCUCCCACGUGAGUCCCGCACACUGAAAGCAGGUCAUUAGGCCCUUGCCCGGCUCACGUAAGAUACAGUGGCGCGCGAACUGUACCAAGGGGGUAACACAGAAUCGGGUGUUACAAAGAAGAGUACUGAUUGCUGUUCCAGAGGACCCAGGUUCAAUUCCACAUUACAGCUAACAACUGUGUGAUUCCAAGAUUUUACAGCCUCACACAAACAUACAUGCAGGCGAACACACCAAUGCACAGAAAAUAAAAUAAAUAAAUAAAUAAAUUACAAAAAAAUAGUGAGCUAGUGGUAUUUGUACAUGAUUGUAGUUCUAGCUAUUGAGGAGGCUGAGUCCAGAUGAUCACAUGAUCAUAGAAAUUUGAGACUGGCCUGGGCAAUACAUAGAGACCUCCCCUCAAAUAAAUAAAUUCGGCUGGUGAGAUGGCCUACAGCUUGUCCUCUGACCUCCAGAGUUUUAC